CCAACAGGGAUUGCCUCAGUAACGGCGAGUGAAGCGGCAACAGCUCAAAUUUGAAAUCUGGCUCUUUUGGGGUCCGAGUUGUAAUUUGUAGAGGGUGUUUCGGGCGAGGCGCCGGCCUAAGUUCUUUGGAACAGGACGUCAUAGAGGGUGAGAAUCCCGUAUGCGGCCGGUGACCGACCCCAUGUGAAACCCCUUCGACGAGUCGAGUUGUUUGGGAAUGCAGCUCAAAAUGGGUGGUAUAUUUCAUCUAAAGCUAAAUACCGGCCAGAGACCGAUAGCGCACAAGUAGAGUGAUCGAAAGAUGAAAAGCACUUUGGAAAGAGAGUUAAACAGUACGUGAAAUUGUUGAAAGGGAAGCGCUUGCAACCAGAUCCGUCUCCGGGUGAUCAGCCUCCGUUUUCGGGGGUGCACUCGCCCGGUGAUGGGCCAGCAUCGGUUCGGGCGGUCGGAUAAAGGCCAGAGGAAUGUAGCUUCCUUCGGGGAGUGUUAUAGCCUCGGUGCCAUGCGGCCAGCCGGGACCGAGGAUCGCGCUUCGGCUAGGAUGCUGGCGUAAUGGUUGUAAGCGGCCCGUCUUGAAACACGGACCAAGGAGUGUAAUAUUUAUGCGAGUGUUUGGGUGUUAAACCCAUACGCGGAACGAAAGUGAACGGAGGUGAGAACCCAUUCGGGUGCAUCAUCGACCGAUCCGGAAGUUUACGGAUGGAUUUGAGUACGAGCAUAACUAUUGCGACCCGAAAGAUGAUGAACUAUACCUGAAUAGGGUGAAGCCAGGGGAAACCCUGGUGGAGGCUCGCAGCGGUUCUGACGUGCAAAUCGAUCGUCAAAUUUGGGUAUAGGGGCGAAAGACUAAUCGAAUCAUCUAGUAGCUGGUUCCUGUCGAAGUUUCCCUCAGGAUAGCAGUAACGUUUUCAGUUUUAUGAGGUAAAGCGAAUGAUUAGAGGUCUUGGGGAUGCAACAUCCUUAACCUAUUCUCAAACUUUAAAUAUGUAAGAAGUCCUUGUUACUUAGUUGAACGUGGACAUUCGAAUGUACCGUUACUAGUGGGCCAUUUUUGGUAAGCAGAACUGGCGAUGCGGGAUGAACCGAACGCGAGGUUAAGGUGCCGGAAUGCACGCUCAUCAGACACCACAAAAGGUGUUAAUUCAUCCAGACAGCAGGACGGUGGCCAUGGAAGUCGGAAUCCGCUAAGGAGUGUGUAACAACUCACCUGCCGAAUGAAUUAGCCCUGAAAAUGGAUGGCGCUCAAGCGUGCUACCCAUACCUCGCCGCCAGGGUAGAAACAAUGCCCUGGCGAGUAGGCAGGCGUGGGGG
Molecule: ribosomal RNA, 1311 nt
Filed under: Tornabea scutellifera
Lineage: Eukaryota; Fungi; Ascomycota; Lecanoromycetes; Caliciales; Physciaceae
Description: eukaryotic LSU rRNA
Rfam family: Eukaryotic large subunit ribosomal RNA
Source: RNAcentral